UACAGAGGUCUCAAGCGUUGUUCGGAUUCAUUGGGCGUAAAGGGUGCGUAGGUGGCGCUGUAAGUCGGGUGUGAAAUUUCGGAGCUUAACUCCGAAACUGCAUUCGAUACUGCGGUGCUUGAGGACUGGAGAGGAGACUGGAAUUCAUGGUGUAGCAGUGAAAUGCGUAGAGAUCAUGAGGAAGACCAGUGGCGAAGGCGAGUCUCUGGACAGUUCCUGACACUGAGACACGAAGGCCAGGGGAGCAAACGGG
This 253-nucleotide ribosomal RNA is filed under the name uncultured bacterium. RNAcentral describes it as "partial 16S ribosomal RNA". It matches the Rfam family "Bacterial small subunit ribosomal RNA", at positions 524 to 776 of the family's 1533-position model. The record is from RNAcentral.